GAUGAACGCUGGCGGCGUGCCUAACACAUGCAAGUCGAGCGAUGAAGUUUCCUUCGGGAAACGGGUUAGCGGCGGACGGGUGAGUAACACGUGGGUAACCUGCCUCAUAAUGGGGGAUAGCCUUUCGAAAGGAAGAUUAAUACCGCAUAACAUCAUUAAAUGGCAUCAUUUAAUGAUCAAAGGAUUUAUUCGUUAUGAGAUGGACCCGCGUCGCAUUAGCUAGCUGGUAAGGUAAUGGCUUACCAAGGCGACGAUGCGUAGCCGACCUGAGAGGGUGAUCGGCCACAUUGGGACUGAGACACGGCCCAGACUCCUACGGGGGGCAGCAGUGGGGAAUAUUGCACAAUGGGGGAAACCCUGAUGCAGCAACGCCGCGUGAGUGAUGACGGUCUUCGGAUUGUAAAGCUCUGUCUUUGGGGACGAUAAUGACGGUACCCAAGGAGGAAGCCACGGCUAACUACGUGCCAGCCGCCGCAGUAA
Molecule: ribosomal RNA, 480 nt
Filed under: uncultured bacterium
Lineage: Bacteria
Description: partial 16S ribosomal RNA
Rfam family: Bacterial small subunit ribosomal RNA
Source: RNAcentral